CCUACGGGAGGCAGCAGUGGGGAAUAUUGCACAAUGGGCGAAAGCCUGAUGCAGCAACGCCGCGUGAAGGAAGAAGGCCUUCGGGUCGUAAACUUCUGUCCUUGGGGAAGAAGAACUGACGGUACCCAAGGAGGAAGCCCCGGCUAACUACGUGCCAGCAGCCGCGGUAAUACGUAGGGGGCAAGCGUUAUCCGGAAUUAUUGGGCGAAAAGAGUACGUAGGUGGCAACCUAAGCGCAGGGUUUAAGGCAAUGGCUCAACCAUUGUUCGCCCUGCGAACUGGGAUGCUUGAGUGCAGGAGAGGAAAGCGGAAUUCCUAGUGUAGCGGUGAAAUGCAUAGAUAUCACACAGAACACCGAUUGCGAAGGCAUCUCACGAAUCCGCGAUUGACGCUGAUGCACGAAAGCGUGGGUAUCAAACAGGAUUAGAUACCCCAGUAGUC
Molecule: ribosomal RNA, 441 nt
Filed under: uncultured bacterium
Lineage: Bacteria
Description: partial 16S ribosomal RNA
Rfam family: Bacterial small subunit ribosomal RNA
Source: RNAcentral